Non-coding RNA from Malus domestica (apple), 497 nucleotides. NCBI's taxonomy places the organism in Eukaryota, Viridiplantae, Streptophyta, Magnoliopsida, Rosales, Rosaceae. The record is from RefSeq and is a predicted model, not a curated record.
UCUUUUUAACUGGGGAAUGGUUUAGGCAGGAUAGUGUCCGAUGUUUGGUGGAGUAAGGACUACCAAUUGACGACAAUUGGCAGGACUCGCAUGGACUAUGGCAUCACAACAAUCCCGCCAAUCCCGCCAAUCGCGCCUUGUCCUUGGUAAAGCAGCAGCAACAGCUGCUCCCCUUCUCCAUCCACCAAAAUCUCAACGGACGUCGUCGCCGCCCAGCACGGAGGAAAUCGUUUAGGUUUACGAGUUGUCCUUGUUGGAGCUCGUAUUCAAUUCGAAGCCCAAAUUCAUCUGGUGCGUUUAGAAUAUAUCUCAGCCUCAGCCAGGUACAAGCAAGGCAACAUUACUUGGUCUAAGAAUGGAUACCAGGUACCAGUACUAGCAGACCACGACAUGACUGAGAUAAGAAUCAAUACCAGUGCGAAACAAACGUCUUCCUUGUCCAAUGUACAAUGUUUCUUUUCUUUAUUAGAAACAUAAUUUAGCUGUUCCUUUAGAUC